GUGACUGCGUACCUUUUGUAUAAUGGGUCAGCGACUUAUAUUCUGUAGCAAGGUUAACCGUCUAGGGGAGCCGCAGGGAAACCGAGUCUUAACGGGGCGUUAAGUUGCAGGGUAUAGACCCGAAACCCGGUGAUCUAGCCAUGGGCAGGUUGAAGGUUGGGUAACACUAACUGGAGGACCGAACCGACUAAUGUUGAAAAAUUAGCGGAUGACUUGUGGCUGGGGGUGAAAGGCCAAUCAAACCGGGAGAUAGCUGGUUCUCCCCGAAAGCUAUUUAGGUAGCGCCUCGUGAAGUCAUCUUCGGGGGUAGAGCACUGUUUCGGCUAGGGGGUCAUCCCGACUUACCAACCCGAUGCAAACUGCGAAUACCGAAGAAUGUUAUCACGGGAGACACACGGCGGGUGCUAACGUCCGUCGUGAAGAGGGAAACAACCCAGACCGCCAGCUAAGGUCCCGAAGUCAUGGUUAAGUGGGAAACGAAGUGGGAAGGCUCAGACAGCCAGGAUGUUGGCUUAGAAGCAGCCAUCAUUUAAAGAAAGCGUAAUAGCUCACUGGUCGAGUCGGCCUGCGCGGAAGAUGUAACGGGGCUAAACCAUGCACCGAAGCUGCGGCAGCGACAUUUAGAUGUUGUUGGGUAGGGGAGCGUUCUGUAAGCCGCAGAAGGUGGCCUGUGAGGGCUGCUGGAGGUAUCAGAAGUGCGAAUGCUGACAUAAGUAACGAUAAAGCGGGUGAAAAACCCGCUCGCCGGAAGACCAAGGGUUCCUGUCCAACGUUAAUCGGGGCAGGGUGAGUCGACCCCUAAGGCGAGGCCGACAGGCGUAGUCGAUGGGCAACAGGUUAAUAUUCCUGUACUCGGUGUGACUGCGAAGGGGGGACGGAGAAGGCUAGGCCAGCCGGGCGACGGUCGUCCCGGUUGAAGCGUGUAGGUGGGUGGUUUUGGAAAAUCCGGACCGCUGAUAACACUGAGGCGUGAUAACGAGGCACUACGGUGCUGAAGUGGUUGAUGCCCUGCUUCCAGGAAAAGCCUCUAAGCAUCAGGUCACAUUGGAUCGUACCCCAAACCGACACAGGUGGUCAGGUAGAGAAUACUCAGGCGCUUGAGAGAACUCGGGUGAAGGAACUAGGCAAAAUGGUGCCGUAACUUCGGGAGAAGGCACGCUGGCGCCAGGUGAAGGAACGAGCUUCCGGAGCCGAGGCCAGUCGCAGAUACCAGCUGGCUGCAACUGUUUAAUAAAAACACAGCACUGUGCAAACACGCAAGUGGACGUAUACGGUGUGACGCCUGCCCGGUGCUGGAAGGUUAAUUGAUGGGGUUAUCGCGUUGCGAGAAGCUCUUGAUCGAAGCCCCAGUAAACGGCGGCCGUAACUAUAACGGUCCUAAGGUAGCGAAAUUCCUUGUCGGGUAAGUUCCGACCUGCACGAAUGGCGUAAUGAUGGCCAGGCUGUCUCCACCCGAGACUCAGUGAAAUUGAACUCGCUGUGAAGAUGCAGUGUACCCGCGGCAAGACGGAAAGACCCCGUGAACCUUUACUAUAGCUUGACACUGAACCUUGAGCCUUGAUGUGUAGGAUAGGUGGGAGGCCUGGAAGUGCGGACGCCAGUCUGCACGGAGCCAACCUUGAAAUACCACCCUUGAAUGUUUGAUGUUCUAACGCAGGCCCGUGAUCCGGGUUGCGGACAGUGUCUGGUGGGUAGUUUGACUGGGGCGGUCUCCUCCCAAAGCGUAACGGAGGAGCACGAAGGUUAGCUAAUCACGGUCGGACAUCGUGAGGUUAGUGCAAUGGCAUAAGCUGGCUUGACUGCGAGAGUGACAGCUCGAGCAGGUGCGAAAGCAGGUCAUAGUGAUCCGGUGGUUCUGAAUGGAAGGGCCAUCGCUCAACGGAUAAAAGGUACUCCGGGGAUAACAGGCUGAUACCGCCCAAGAGUUCAUAUCGACGGCGGUGUUUGGCACCUCGAUGUCGGCUCAUCACAUCCUGGGGCUGAAGCAGGUCCCAAGGGUACGGCUGUU
This 2008-nucleotide ribosomal RNA is filed under the name Xenorhabdus nematophila ATCC 19061. Its description in RNAcentral is "LSU rRNA". It matches the Rfam family "Bacterial large subunit ribosomal RNA", at positions 593 to 2581 of the family's 2925-position model. Lineage: Bacteria; Pseudomonadati; Pseudomonadota; Gammaproteobacteria; Enterobacterales; Morganellaceae. The record is from RNAcentral.